Molecule: long non-coding RNA, 1163 nt
Filed under: Equus asinus (donkey)
Lineage: Eukaryota; Metazoa; Chordata; Mammalia; Perissodactyla; Equidae
Description: lncRNA (ENSEASG00005030534.1)
Source: RNAcentral
GCAAGAUUCCCUUUCAUCUCCCAACGGCAGUUUGGGGCUGCACGUGUCCGCCGAAUCCAAGGGCAAAGGGCCUGCGGUGAGGAGCCCACAUUUUAUGGUGAUGAGGAUCAAACGGAAUGAGAUAUGUGGACAUGCCUUGGAAACUGUACAAUGUCAGCUCUCCGUCUUCUCACCUGCCUCCCGGGCCCUCCUGCGCUGAGUGGAAAGCAGCCGCUCCUGGCAGCGCCCAGGGGGCUGCAGUCAGCAUCUCACAGAGGAAACCAGUCUGCCCCUGACUUUCUCUGUGUGAUACAAGGGCCAUUUUGUUGAAGACCGUGUUCUGCUGACUCCUAAGAAGCGCCUCUCCCCCCGACACGGAGCCCGGGACCGGGUCUUCCUCCGGAGCAGAGAGCCGGACCCCGCGCUGCCUCCUCCCAGCCCCUCGGGUGCAGACGGGACUCCCGCCGGAUACGGGUCCUUGGAGUAAACGGGAGAGAAAUUCCACUUUGGCUCCAGCGAUCCGGCCCACAAAGGAGCCAGGGAAAAAGCUGAGCGAGAAGAGCGACCGCAAGCCCCCUUGCCGGAUUCCGGCAGACGCCACGGGGAGAAUCGGGAACAGAAAAACCUGGGCCAGAGAAGAAAGGGCCUUCGCGGGGCUGUGCAGACACAACGCAGGAACACGUCCAGCCAGCGCAAGGCAAGGCCGGCUGCGCUGCCUUAGAACUCAGAGGAGAAGGCGCUCACCGCCGGCCGGGGCGGGCAGGGGAGGCAGCCUUGACCUCAGCCCUGAAGACCCGGCGCUCCUGGCCUCCUUCCCCGCCUCGGCAUCACCUGCUGCUGGAUUUCACCUUAAUAAUAGCUGGUAGCACAUACUGAGCACUUACAAUGUCGGGCUUUAUGAGCAUUUUCUCGUUAGUCUUCACAGAAAAUUAGAGUGUAUCCCCAGAGCCUAGAAAAAGAGUCUUUCACAGAAUGGGGGCUCGAAACAUAUUGAAUGAAUGAAGGAAUGAGGAGGAGGAGCAAAAGUGAGUUAGGCGUUACUAUUCACAUUUUCCAGGUCAAGAAUGUAAGGUUCAGAGAAGUGAAGUCUUGGACAGGUAUGUUAUCUCCAUUCCACAACUUUCCAGCUUUCUUUUCCUGUCUCACCACUUACCGCAAUGUGCAAUUAUUUCAUUUCCUUCUUG